This 247-nucleotide unclassified non-coding RNA is filed under the name uncultured bacterium. RNAcentral's name for it is "contains 16S-23S intergenic spacer region". The record is from RNAcentral.
UCCUCCGACUCCCUCUCCUCUCUCGCCGACUCCGACCGCCCUGCUCUCUCACUCUUGUCCUCCCCCGCUGCCUACGCCGCCGUCUCCUCUUCCCUCUCCGGCUCCCACUCCGACCCCCUCUGCCACUGGCUCUACGACACCUUCCUCUCCUCCGACCCCCACCUCCGCCUCGUCGUCCUCUCCUUCGUCCCCCUCCUCUCUGGCCUCUACCUCUCCCGAAUCCACUCCCCUGAACCGCCGUCCCUCG